AUAUCAAUAAGCGGAGGAAAAGAAACCAACAGGGAUUGCCUUAGUAACGGCGAGUGAAGCGGCAACAGCUCAAAUUUGAAAUCUGGCCCCAGGGCCCGAGUUGUAAUUUGCAGAGGAUGCUUUUGGCGCGGUGCCUUCCGAGUUCCCUGGAACGGGACGCCAUAGAGGGUGAGAGCCCCGUCUGGUUGGAUACCAAGCCUUUGUAAAGCUCCUUCGACGAGUCGAGUAGUUUGGGAAUGCUGCUCUAAAUGGGAGGUAUAUGUCUUCUAAAGCUAAAUACCGGCCAGAGACCGAUAGCGCACAAGUAGAGUGAUCGAAAGAUGAAAAGCACUUUGGAAAGAGAGUUAAACAGCACGUGAAAUUGUUAAAAGGGAAGCGUUUAUGACCAGACUUGGGCCGGUUAAUCAUCCAGCGUUCUCGCUGGUGCACUUUGCCGGUCCAGGCCAGCAUCAGUUCGCUGCGGGGGAUAAAGGCGUCGGGAAUGUGGCUCCUCCGGAGUGUUAUAGCCCUUCGCGCAAUACCCUGCGGUGGACUGAGGUUCGCGCAUCUGCAAGGAUGCUGGCGUAAUGGUCAUCAACGACCCGUCUUGAAACACGGACCAAGGAGUCGUCUUCGUAUGCGAGUGUUCGGGUGUAAAACCCCUACGCGUAAUGAAAGUGAACGCAGGUGAGAGCUUCGGCGCAUCAUCGACCGAUCCUGAUGUUCUCGGAUGGAUUUGAGUAAGAGCAUACGGGGCCGGACCCGAAGAGAAGGUGAACUAUGCCUGUAUAGGGUGAAGCCUGUGAUUGGCUGGUGGAGGCUCGCAGCGGUUCUGACGUGCAAAUCGAUCGUCAAAUAUGGGCAUGGGGGCGAAAGACUAAUCG
Molecule: ribosomal RNA, 863 nt
Filed under: Stachybotrys chlorohalonatus
Lineage: Eukaryota; Fungi; Ascomycota; Sordariomycetes; Hypocreales; Stachybotryaceae
Description: LSU rRNA
Rfam family: Eukaryotic large subunit ribosomal RNA
Source: RNAcentral